UACGUAGGGGGCAAGCGUUGUCCGGAAUCAUUGGGCGUAAAGAGCGUGUAGGCGGCCAAACAGGUCCACUGUGAAAACUCGAGGCUCAACCUCGAGAGGUCGGUGGAAACCGUCUGGCUAGAGUCCGGAAGAGGAGAGUGGAAUUCCCGGUGUAGCGGUGAAAUGCGCAGAUAUCGGGAAGAACACCCGUGGCGAAGGCGGCUCUCUGGGACGGUACUGACGCUGAGACGCGAAAGCGUGGGGAGCGAACAGG
This 253-nucleotide ribosomal RNA is filed under the name uncultured bacterium. RNAcentral describes it as "partial 16S ribosomal RNA". It matches the Rfam family "Bacterial small subunit ribosomal RNA", at positions 524 to 776 of the family's 1533-position model. The record is from RNAcentral.